UAGUCCACGCCGUAAACGAUGUCAACUAGGUGUGAGGCCCUUGAGGUUUUGUGCCGCAGCUAACGCGUUAAGUUGACCGCCUGGGGAGUACGCACGCAAGUGUAAAACUCAAAGGAAUUGACGGGGACCCGCACAAGCGGUGGAGCAUGUGGUUUAAUUCGAUGCAACGCGAAGAACCUUACCUGGCCUUGACGUCAGGAGAACUUAGCAGAGAUGCUUAGGUGCCUUCGGGAACUCCUAGACAGGUGUUGCAUGGCUGUCGUCAGCUCGUGUCGUGAGAUGUUGGGUUAAGUCCCGCAACGAGCGCAACCCUUAUCCUUAUUUGCCAGCACGUUAUGGUGGGAACUUUAGGGANACUGCCGGUGACAAGCCGGAGGAAGGGUGGGGACGACGUCAAGUCAUCAUGGGCCCUUACGGGCCAGGGGCUACACACGUGCUACAAUGGGGCGAUACAGACGGUUGCCAACCCGCGAGGGGGAG
RNAcentral lists this ribosomal RNA (480 nucleotides) under uncultured bacterium. RNAcentral's name for it is "bacterial SSU rRNA". It matches the Rfam family "Bacterial small subunit ribosomal RNA", at positions 791 to 1267 of the family's 1533-position model. The record is from RNAcentral.